RNAcentral lists this transfer RNA (73 nucleotides) under Plectroglyphidodon altus (Japanese gregory). RNAcentral describes it as "tRNA-Val". It matches the Rfam family "tRNA". From Rfam's summary of the family: Transfer RNA (tRNA) molecules are approximately 80 nucleotides in length. Their secondary structure includes four short double-helical elements and three loops (D, anti-codon, and T loops). Further hydrogen bonds mediate the characteristic L-shaped molecular structure. tRNAs have two regions of fundamental functional importance: the anti-codon, which is responsible for specific mRNA codon recognition, and the 3' end, to which the tRNAs corresponding amino acid is attached (by aminoacyl-tRNA synthetases). tRNAs cope with the degeneracy of the genetic code in two manners: having more than one tRNA (with a specific anti-codon) for a particular amino acid; and 'wobble' base-pairing, i.e. permitting non-standard base-pairing at the 3rd anti-codon position. The record is from RNAcentral. Lineage: Eukaryota; Metazoa; Chordata; Actinopteri; Pomacentridae.
CAGGGCUUAGCUAAACAACGAAUAGCAUCUCCCUUACACUGAGAAGUCACCCGUGCAAACCGGGUCGUCCUGA